RNAcentral lists this ribosomal RNA (468 nucleotides) under uncultured bacterium. Its description in RNAcentral is "partial 16S ribosomal RNA". It matches the Rfam family "Bacterial small subunit ribosomal RNA", at positions 28 to 507 of the family's 1533-position model. The record is from RNAcentral.
GACGAACGCUGGCGGCGUGCUUAACACAUGCAAGUCGAACGGAAAGGCCCUGCUUUUGUGGGGUGCUCGAGUGGCGAACGGGUGUGUAACACGUGUAUGACCUGCCCUUGUCUUUGGGAUAACUUCUGGAGACUGGGGCUAAUACCGGAUAGGAGAUUCUGCUCCAUGGUGGUGGAUGGAAAAUUUCGGCGGUUGGGGAUGGACUCGCGGCUCAUCAGCUGGUUGGUGGGGUAGUUGCUUACCAAGCUUUUGACGGGUAGCCGACCUGAGAGGUUGACCGGGGUCAUUGGGACUGAGAGACGGCGCAGUAGCCUACGGGAGGCAGUAGUGGGGAAUAUGGCAGAACGGGCGGAAGCGUGAGGUAGCAGUGCCGCGUGCGGGAUGACGGCCUUCGGGUUGUAAACCGCUUUGGAAUGUGACGAAGCGGGAGUGACGGUAAUGGGUAAAGAAGCACCGGCUAACUACGUG